Molecule: ribosomal RNA, 442 nt
Filed under: uncultured bacterium
Lineage: Bacteria
Description: bacterial SSU rRNA
Rfam family: Bacterial small subunit ribosomal RNA
Source: RNAcentral
GAUGAACGCUGGCGGCGUGCCUAAUACAUGCAAGUCGAGCGGUAAGGCCCUUCGGGUACGACGAGCGGCGGACGGCUGAGUAACACGUAGGAACGUACCCCAAACCUAGAGGGAUAAGCACCAGAAAUGGUGUCUAAUACCGCAUGUGAUCUUCGGAUUAAAGCUUCGGCGGUUUGGGAACGGCCUGCGCAUGAUUAGCUUGUUGGUGAGGUAAUUGCUCACCAAGGCGACGAUCAUUAGCUGGUCUGAGAGGAUGACCAGCCAGACUGGAACUGAGAACGGUCCAGACUCCUACGGGAGGCAGCAGUAGGGAAUUUUCCACAAUGGGCGAAAGCCUGAUGGAGCAACGCCGCGUGCAGGAUGAAUGUCUUCGGAUUGUAAACUGCUUUUAUAUGUGACGAUAAUGACGGUAGCAUAUGAAUAAGGAUCGGCUAACUCCGUG